Molecule: regulatory RNA element, 118 nt
Organism: Glaciecola punicea
Lineage: Bacteria; Pseudomonadati; Pseudomonadota; Gammaproteobacteria; Alteromonadales; Alteromonadaceae
Rfam family: Histidine operon leader
About the family: At least 6 amino acid operons are known to be regulated by attenuation. In each a leader sequence of 150-200 bp is found upstream of the first gene in the operon.
Source: Rfam
UCAUCAUCACGUAAGCACCUAAGCUUUCAGGUAUGUGCCUGGAAGGCUAUGGUUUCCUUCCACCGGCGAUAAACGUAUUGUAAAGCCCUCGGAAGAAAACUUCCGGGGGCUUUUUACU